Molecule: ribosomal RNA, 462 nt
Filed under: uncultured bacterium
Lineage: Bacteria
Description: bacterial SSU rRNA
Rfam family: Bacterial small subunit ribosomal RNA
Source: RNAcentral
CCUACGGGUGGCUGCAGUCGAGAAUCUUCCGCAAUGGGCGAAAGCCUGACGGAGCGAUGCCGCGUGCGGGAUGAAGGCCUUCGGGUUGUAAACCGCUGUCAGUGGGGUGGAAAUUAGUUGGGGUUCUCCCCAGCUAUUGACCUAACCGCAGAGGAAGUCCGGGCUAAGUACGUGCCAGCAGCCGCGGUAAUACGUACCGGACGAACGUUAUUCGGAAUCACUGGGCUUAAAGAGUGCGUAGGCGGCCCAGCAGGUGAGGUGUGAAAUCCCACGGCUCAACCGUGGAAUUGCGCUUCAAACCGCUGGGCUUGAGGGAGACAGGGGUGAGUGGAACUGAUGGUGGAGCGGUGAAAUGCGUUGAUAUCAUCAGGAACACCAGUGGCGAAGGCGACUCACUGGGUCUCUACUGACGCUGAGGCACGAAAGCUAGGGGAGCAAACGGGAUUAGAUACCCUAGUAGUC